Molecule: unclassified non-coding RNA, 600 nt
Filed under: Oxytropis kamtschatica
Lineage: Eukaryota; Viridiplantae; Streptophyta; Magnoliopsida; Fabales; Fabaceae
Description: sequence contains ITS1, 5.8S rRNA gene, ITS2
Rfam family: 5.8S ribosomal RNA (bases 232-387)
Source: RNAcentral
UCGAUGCCUUACAUGCAGACCAACUCGUGAAUCUGUUUGAAUACACGGGGAUGGCUCGGGGUGUUCGGCACCACGGCCUCCCUUUGGGUAGGAGGGGCGCGCAUUGCGUUCCCCUCCUUCCCGAACACAAACCCCGGCGCUGAAUGCGCCAAGGAACAAAAAUUCGAUCAGUCGCCCCGUCGGCCCGGAGACGGUGCUCCGGCGGUGGUGCCUUGACACAUGAUACAUAAUGACUCUCGGCAACGGAUAUCUAGGCUCUUGCAUCGAUGAAGAACGUAGCGAAAUGCGAUACUUGGUGUGAAUUGCAGAAUCCCGUGAACCAUCGAGUCUUUGAACGCAAGUUGCGCCCGAAGCCAUUUGGUUGAGGGCACGUCUGCCUGGGCGUCACAUAUCGUUGCCCGAUGCCUAUUGCACUGCGAUAGGAAUUUCUAGGGCGAAAGAUGGCUUCCCGUGAGCAUUGUUGCCUCGCGGUUGGUUGAAAACCGAGUCCUUGGUAGGGUGUGCCAUGAUAGAUGGUGGUCGAGUUUGCACGAGACCGAUCAUGUGUGCGCUCUCCAAAAUAUGGACUCUUUGACCCCACACGCGUCUUUUGACGCUCAU